Molecule: long non-coding RNA, 1412 nt
Organism: Hippocampus comes (tiger tail seahorse)
Lineage: Eukaryota; Metazoa; Chordata; Actinopteri; Syngnathiformes; Syngnathidae
Exons: 2
Source: RefSeq, a predicted model, not a curated record
UAAAAAGCAAUAAAACAGACAUGAUAUUGAUUCAAUCCUUUAUUUGCACUUUCGCGUUUACACUUCAGAAAUAAUCUGAUUUGGGAACUUAAAGUGUUAAAAAAGAACGUUGGGAAACCGAAGCGACACUGUACGGACACUGGUCGGUGAUUUGGCGGUGUCAUUCUUUCGGUGUUUCACCAUUUUGGGGGGAGGAAUGCAGAGAAUUAAAUGGGAUUUUUCCAGAUUAUAGAUAACAGUCUGUGUCUCCUGAUGUUGCCAUAAAGGGCUUUUGAUCGCCCUCAUCAAAAAUAAUAUUCAUUUUUUAUGAAAACAUGUAACUUUCCCUCCUGAAUGGCUUAUCAAUCUAAAGAAUCUUAUAACCUGAGUAAUAAAAAAAAAAAGUAAUCUAUACAAAAAUAACAUCUCACAGUAUAUCUCCAUAAUGCUUCUAGAAUUGCCGUAACACAAUUAAAAAACGAAUCAUCAUAUUGGAUACAACAGAGUGCAUAAUGAAGGAUUUUGGAUGGAUUUACAAGGGUGAUGCUUAAUUCAAAUUAUGACUUUUACAAUAAAACAGUGGUCAGGAUGAAACAGUUCAUGUUACCAAGGCAACAGUAUGUGGCACAAUGGGCACAAAAGUUGAAAUCCACUCAGCUGCUGCAAACGUUUGGCAUUAUAUAAAUGUAUUGUUCUGUUUUGUAUUGUAUUUCUCACCAAUUUCCAUUACAAAGCAAGUACUGUAAUUCACACUCAGGUCUCAUAGAAGAAAACAUUCGUGAACCAAACGGGCUGGUAGAAUCAAAAAUUGAAUUGGUCCUUAAAAGGCUCGAUCAUAUAUUUUUCUUUUACAUCACAGCACAAAAUGAUGACCACUGUUGUGUGAUGCAUUCAGCACAUAUGCGAGAAUGAUUAAUUAAAUACACAUAUAGCUCUCUACACAUAUUUACAGAAUAUAUUUUAUGACUGCAGAAUACCACACCUGCAGCAAAAGUGUAUUUGCGUCAUCACAUUUAUAUUGAACAAUAUAGCAUUAUAAUUGCUGGGAGUCGUCAUGAGGUAUACGUGAACACCAAAGCAGCCUUUGGAGAGGAGCAGAUAUUUUACAGAGGUGUACAGGAAUGGGAAGAUGAUAACUGUGAUACACUCUACGUCUCAUUCAGCUAUUGAAAAUAAUAUAUAAAUAUCAUAAUAAAAAUAAAUAGAUAAAACAAGUUGAAGCGUUUCCAAUUUUUAAAUGCAACUAUACAAUUCAGUUGAAAAAUGAACUGAAAUCCCAAAGUGGGAUAAAUUUAAAAUAGAAAAUACAGUUGCAUAAUUAAAUGUAUAUAUAUUUUUUGAAGCACCUUGUCGGACCUUUACAAUCUCUUUCCAGUCACAUUGGACAGGUCUGUCUGUGGCACGUCUUGUUGACGAUCAAUUUGGACAUUUUU